UGUAGGUUUUAGAACUGAUAGAAAGGAACGGGGCCCCAAAACUGCAAAACCCCAGGCAGCACUCGGCUCUCCUGCGCGACUUUCUCCGCUGCUGCCUGCAGACAGAUGAGGACAGGCGCUGGUCUGCCCAGGAACUCCUGAAGCAUCCUUUUGUGACCUCAGGCGAUCCUGCCUCCAGCCUGGCUGCUCUGAUCAUCUCAGCCAAGCAAGUGCAGGAAGACUGGAGAGGAGACGCUUGCGCCUGAGGAGGCCUUGCUGCCCCGCCAGCUCAGAGGAGCGACGAGGGGAUGUACCGUGUUUAGGAGAAGAUUCGGCGGCCAUCCCCUGAGUUUUAGAAUGAGCUGUUCCGUAGUUAGGAAGUUUAUAGUUUUGAGAUUUUCUUAGCUUAGCUGGUUUCAGUUAGGACUCUAGACCCCAGAAAGCUUCAUUAAUGGAGCAUUGUUUAGCUAAGAGUAGAGUAUUGCUGAUGUAGGGGAGCUGAGAAUUAUCCUUGAGGUAGAAAUGGACGAAUCGCCAUACUGAUGAUUAAGCUAUGAAAGAAAAAGCUGGGACUCAGCAGAACUGGACCAGGCAUGAGCUGUCAGCCUGAACAGGUCACCAGGAGGACAGAAUGAUGAAGAUGAAGACGAAGACGAAGAUGAAGAUGAAGAUGAAGAAGUAGCUGGAAGACCCUUGGUUUCAGCCCUUGGUUUCAGCAGGACUGGCAAUAAAAAACUGUAAAACCUC
This is a long non-coding RNA of Corvus hawaiiensis (hawaiian crow), 726 nucleotides long. RefSeq lists it as uncharacterized. The record is from RefSeq and is a predicted model, not a curated record. NCBI's taxonomy places the organism in Eukaryota, Metazoa, Chordata, Aves, Passeriformes, Corvidae. The transcript has 2 exons.